This 253-nucleotide ribosomal RNA is filed under the name uncultured bacterium. RNAcentral's name for it is "partial 16S ribosomal RNA". It matches the Rfam family "Bacterial small subunit ribosomal RNA", at positions 524 to 776 of the family's 1533-position model. The record is from RNAcentral.
UACAGAGGGGGCAAGCGUUGUUCGGAAUUACUGGGCGUAAAGGGCGCGUAGGCGGCUUUUCAAGUGACGGGUGAAAUCCCUCGGCUUAACCGAGGAACUGCCUGUCAGACUGGAAGGCUUGAGACCGGGAGAGGUGAGUGGAAUUCCCAGUGUAGCGGUGAAAUGCGUAGAUAUUGGGAGGAACACCAGUGGCGAAGGCGGCUCACUGGACCGGAACUGACGCUGAGGCGCGAAAGCGUGGGGAGCAAACAGG